AUUGAACGCUGGCGGUAUGCUUAACACAUGCAAGUCGAACGGUAACAGGCCUUCGGGCGCUGACGAGUGGCGGACGGGUGAGUAACGCGUAGGAAUCUGCCUCAUAGUGGGGGACAACGUGGGGAAACUCACGCUAAUACCGCAUACGCCCUACGGGGGAAAGCGGGGGAUCUUCGGACCUCGCGCUAUGAGAUGAGCCUGCGUUAGAUUAGCUAGUAGGUGGGGUAAUAGCCCACCUAGGCGACGAUGGUUAGCGGGUCUGAGAGGAUGAUCCGCCACACUGGAACUGGAACACGGACCAGACUCCUACGGGAGGCUG
RNAcentral lists this ribosomal RNA (319 nucleotides) under uncultured Pseudomonadota bacterium. RNAcentral's name for it is "bacterial SSU rRNA". It matches the Rfam family "Bacterial small subunit ribosomal RNA", at positions 30 to 351 of the family's 1533-position model. The record is from RNAcentral. Lineage: Bacteria; Pseudomonadati; Pseudomonadota.